RNAcentral lists this non-coding RNA (30 nucleotides) under Mus musculus (house mouse). Lineage: Eukaryota; Metazoa; Chordata; Mammalia; Rodentia; Muridae. The record is from RNAcentral.
UGGUAGGGACAGUCUGAAUGUCAAAAGCUG